GAUGAACGCUGGCGGCGUGCCUAAUACAUGCAAGUCGAGCGAACAGACGAGGAGCUUGCUCCUCUGACGUUAGCGGCGGACGGGUGAGUAACACGUGGAUAACCUACCUAUAAGACUGGGAUAACUUCGGGAAACCGGAGCUAAUACCGGAUAAUAUAUUGAACCGCAUGGUUCAAUAGUGAAAGACGGUUUUGCUGUCACUUAUAGAUGGAUCCGCGCCGCAUUAGCUAGUUGGUAAGGUAACGGCUUACCAAGGCAACGAUGCGUAGCCGACCUGAGAGGUUGAUCGGCCAACCGGGAACUGAGAAACGGCCCAGACCCCAACGGAAGGCAGCAGUAGGGAAUCUGCGGAAAUGGGCGAAGGCUUGACGGAGCAACGCCGCGUGAGUGAUGAAGGUCUUCGGUUCGUAAAACUCUGUUAUUAGGAAAGAACAAAUGUGUAAGUAACUAUGCACGUCUGGACGGUACCUAAGCAGAAAGCCACGGCUAACUACGG
This 496-nucleotide ribosomal RNA is filed under the name uncultured bacterium. RNAcentral describes it as "partial 16S ribosomal RNA". It matches the Rfam family "Bacterial small subunit ribosomal RNA", at positions 28 to 506 of the family's 1533-position model. The record is from RNAcentral.